UGGUGGAGUCAUUACUAUUGCUCCAGGUAGCUAUCAUUGCCUUUUCUUUUUUUGAACUUCUUCUGACCUUUUUUGAGCUUGGGAUAGUCCGAUUGAAGUGACCUGACUUCUUGCAUUCAUAACAGAUGAUGGGCUGCUCUUUUUUUUUUACUUGGCUCCUCCUUAACUGAUGGUCUUCUCUUGAUCCCUUGUCUUCUUUUUCUCAUGAAAUAUCUAAAUUUUUUGAUGAUUAAUGCUAGGUCCUCAUCUUCUUCACUAUUUUUCAAUUUUUUUGAAUAUUCUUCUUCUUGCACUGUUGUUUUGAGAGCAAUUGUCUUCUUUCUUUUGGUCUCUUCUUCAGAAUGUUGCUUCAUGAUCAGCUCAUGGGUCAUGAGGGAUCCAAGUAGCUCCUCCAAAGAUA
RNAcentral lists this long non-coding RNA (400 nucleotides) under Elaeis guineensis (African oil palm). RNAcentral describes it as "long non-coding RNA (EGUI_LNC064997)". The record is from RNAcentral. Lineage: Eukaryota; Viridiplantae; Streptophyta; Magnoliopsida; Arecales; Arecaceae.